AUCUGUCAAAAUUGUUCUGUCAGAGGAGACUUGAGGAGUCUGUCUUGGGUUCAGGGGCUGAUUGACACAGGUGAAAUGAUGUUUUGAUAUAGCAAAUGCAAGAAAGGACCCAUGAUGAAGGAGUAUGAAUAAGACCCUACAGACAGUGGGAGAAAAGCCUUGAACAUCGGUUUGAUUUGCUCCACCUCGCUAUUCUUUGCUAACAGCAUGCAUGUAUUGGUUCAUCUUAUAUAGCAUCGUUGAACUUCACUUGUGGUAAUGCUGCCAUUGAGAAACUCACCCAAGAACUGCUGGUGAGGUUCCUGGGGCAGCUUGCUGCUUCUGCAGCCUCACCUCAGGCCGGUUAGUGAGC
This 352-nucleotide long non-coding RNA is filed under the name Mus pahari (shrew mouse). RNAcentral describes it as "lncRNA (MGP_PahariEiJ_G0005318.1)". Lineage: Eukaryota; Metazoa; Chordata; Mammalia; Rodentia; Muridae. The record is from RNAcentral.